UUUAUGGAGAGUUUGAUCCUGGCUCAGGAUGAACGCUGGCGGCGUGCCUAAUACAUGCAAGUCGAGCGAACGGACGAGAAGCUUGCUUCUCUGAUGUUAGCGGCGGACGGGUGAGUAACACGUGGAUAACCUACCUAUAAGACUGGGAUAACUUCGGGAAACCGGAGCUAAUACCGGAUAAUAUUUUGAACCGCAUGGUUCAAAAGUGAAAGACGGUCUUGCUGUCACUUAUAGAUGGAUCCGCGCUGCAUUAGCUAGUUGGUAAGGUAACGGCUUACCAAGGCAACGAUGCAUAGCCGACCUGAGAGGGUGAUCGGCCACACUGGAACUGAGACACGGUCCAGACUCCUACGGGAGGCAGCAGUAGGGAAUCUUCCGCAAUGGGCGAAAGCCUGACGGAGCAACGCCGCGUGAGUGAUGAAGGUCUUCGGAUCGUAAAACUCUGUUAUUAGGGAAGAACAUAUGUGUAAGUAACUGUGCACAUCUUGACGGUACCUAAUCAGAAAGCCACGGCUAACUACGUGCCAGCAGCCGCGGUAAUACGUAGGUGGCAAGCGUUAUCCGGAAUUAUUGGGCGUAAAGCGCGCGUAGGCGGUUUUUUAAGUCUGAUGUGAAAGCCCACGGCUCAACCGUGGAGGGUCAUUGGAAACUGGAAAACUUGAGUGCAGAAGAGGAAAGUGGAAUUCCAUGUGUAGCGGUGAAAUGCGCAGAGAUAUGGAGGAACACCAGUGGCGAAGGCGACUUUCUGGUCUGUAACUGACGCUGAUGUGCGAAAGCGUGGGGAUCAAACAGGAUUAGAUACCCUGGUAGUCCACGCCGUAAACGAUGAGUGCUAAGUGUUAGGGGGUUUCCGCCCCUUAGUGCUGCAGCUAACGCAUUAAGCACUCCGCCUGGGGAGUACGACCGCAAGGUUGAAACUCAAAGGAAUUGACGGGGACCCGCACAAGCGGUGGAGCAUGUGGUUUAAUUCGAAGCAACGCGAAGAACCUUACCAAAUCUUGACAUCCUUUGACAACUCUAGAGAUAGAGCCUUCCCCUUCGGGGGACAAAGUGACAGGUGGUGCAUGGUUGUCGUCAGCUCGUGUCGUGAGAUGUUGGGUUAAGUCCCGCAACGAGCGCAACCCUUAAGCUUAGUUGCCAUCAUUAAGUUGGGCACUCUAAGUUGACUGCCGGUGACAAACCGGAGGAAGGUGGGGAUGACGNNANAUNNNANCAUGCCCCUUAUGAUUUGGGCUACACACGUGCUACAAUGGACAAUACAAAGGGCAGCGAAACCGCGAGGUCAAGCAAAUCCCAUAAAGUUGUUCUCAGUUCGGAUUGUAGUCUGCAACUCGACUACAUGAAGCUGGAAUCGCUAGUAAUCGUAGAUCAGCAUGCUACGGUGAAUACGUUCCCGGGUCUUGUACACACCGCCCGUCACACCACGAGAGUUUGUAACACCCGAAGCCGGUGGAGUAACCUUUUAGGAGCUAGCCGUCGAAGGUGGGACAAAUGAUUGGGGUGAAGUCGUAACAAGGUAGCCGUAUCGGAAGGUGCGGCUGGAUCACCUCCUUU
RNAcentral lists this ribosomal RNA (1554 nucleotides) under Staphylococcus aureus. RNAcentral's name for it is "16S ribosomal RNA". It matches the Rfam family "Bacterial small subunit ribosomal RNA". Lineage: Bacteria; Bacillati; Bacillota; Bacilli; Caryophanales; Staphylococcaceae. The record is from RNAcentral.